Molecule: ribosomal RNA, 496 nt
Filed under: uncultured bacterium
Lineage: Bacteria
Description: partial 16S ribosomal RNA
Rfam family: Bacterial small subunit ribosomal RNA
Source: RNAcentral
GAUGAACGCUGGCGGCGUGCCUAAUACAUGCAAGUCGAGCGAACAGACGAGGAGCUUGCUCCUCUGACGUUAGCGGCGGACGGGUGAGUAACACGUGGAUAACCUACCUAUAAGACUGGGAUAACUUCGGGAAACCGGAGCUAAUACCGGAUAACAUGUUGAACCGCAUGGUUCAACAGUGAAAGACGGUCUUGCUGUCACUUAUAGAUGGAUCCGCGCCGCAUUAGCUAGUUGGUAAGGUAACGGCUUACCAAGGCAACGAUGCGUAGCCGACCUGAGAGGGGGAUCGGCCACACUGGAACUGAGACACGGUCCAGACUCCUACGGGAGGCAGCAGUAGGGAAUCUUCCGCAAUGGGCGAAAGCCUGACGGAGCAACGCCGCGUGAGUGAAGAAGGUCUUCGGAUCGUAAAACUCUGUUAUUAGGGAAGAACAAAUGUGUAAGUAACGAUGCACGUCUUGACGGUACCUAAACAGAAAGCCACGGCUAACUACGU